CGAAUCAAUUUGAAUCAUUCUAAAUUAUAUUAUUAGUUAUAAUAAAUCAAAAUACAACGAUAUUUUGACUAUAUGAUGAAUAUAUUGAGAAAUAAUACAAAUUAAGUAUGUAUAAUAUAAACGAGAAGCUAUAGGAGUUAGUUAAAUAAACACAAGUGUGAGGGUCAAAGUUAUAAAAAAAUUAGACGUAAACGAUCACAGAAGCCGAGAGAAUUAUUCGUAUAUUAUUUGUACAUUAUACGGCCUUAGAGUGUCAGAGAGUUCAGACGUUCGUAUUCAAGACAAGAAACUUAAGCUAAAAACGGACUUAAUGAAAUAAUAGAUUUGAGGUUAUGCAGUAACCAGACAAGGAAUGAAAAGAAAUAAUGAAUACCGAUGAAAACUGGCAAAAUUACACUGAAAAAAAAUAUAUAAGAUUUAAAUCUACAAAACAAUCUGAUGGUCAUGGUAAUAAAAUUCAAAAUGUGAAAAAUCAAUUAAAUGUCGGAAAAUAUCGUCAAAAGAAACAAGGUGUUUCUCUUGCACAAUUCUUACAAACGGAAUUAACAAGAGGUUAUCAAUUAGAAAAUGAUGAAGAGAGGUUUUCUGCAAGAAGAGAGAAAAUUUAUUCUUUUAUGAAAAUUCCAAGAGAAGUUGAAAAAUUUAUGGCCUAUGGAUUUUUACAAUGUGCAGAUUCUUUUUUAUUUGUUUAUACAUUUCUUCCACUAAGAUUUAUGAUGGCACUGUGGACAAUAAUUACGAGACCCUUAUUACACUGCUUUGGAAAGGAAAGGAGUAAUUUAAAAGUUGGAGAACGGCAUCUAAAACCAGCAGAGAUUUGCGAUCUUUUAAAGGGAAUUGUGGUGAUCAGCUGUUGGGCAGCUACAUGGAAGGUUGACACCUCUAUGAUGUACCAUUUGGUGAAAAGUCAAUCAGUAAUAAAAUUGUAUAUAUUUUAUAAUAUGCUGGAAGUCGGUGAUAGAUUAUUCAGCGCUUUUGGCCAAGAUACGAUAGAUGCCCUUCUAUGGACAGCUACGGAGCCUAGAUCAAAAACGCAAACACAAACAUCUCAACAUUUGGGCACUCUACCUCAUCUAUUGUUUGCUGUUGCUUAUGUUUUAUUACACAGUAUAUUGGUGCUUUUCCAAGCAACGACUUUGAAUGUUGCCAUUAACAGCAGCAACAAGGCGCUACUUACUAUAAUGAUGUCUAAUAAUUUCGUAGAAUUAAAAGGUUCCGUUUUUAAGAAAUUUGACAAGAAGAAUCUAUUUCAAUUAUCUUGUGCAGACGUGAGAGAACGUUUUCAUUUGAUGAUGCUUCUUCUUGCUGUGAAUCUGCAAACAAUGAAAGAAUACGCAUGGAAAGCGGAACGACUUGCAGUGCUAUUGCCAGAUUGCAUAAUGUUGCUCUUGGCGGAAGUCCUCGUAGAUUGGGUGAAGCACGCCUUUAUAACUCGUUUCAACGAAUUACGUUCAACAGUAUACAGGGAUUAUACAAUAAGUUUAGCGUAUGAUAUGGCGCAAACUCGUGAUGAGACCGCCUUUUCUGAUGCUUCGGAUCUUGUAGCCCGCAGGAUGGGUUUCAUUCCUCUUCCGCUAGGUGUCGCAAUGGGAAGAGUACUUUGCACGACUAUCACGCCGUCUGCCAAACCAGCCAAUAUAAUUUUGUUGCUUCUGGCAUAUCUAAUAUUAGUGGCAUUCAAGAUUUUAAAUAGUUUGAUAAUUCUUGGUAAGGCAUGUGAUUUCAUUUCAUCACAUUCCACGGAACCUGAUAAUGAAAUGACUUCUUUGAAACAUUCUUCAACAAGUACCGAUAUAAAAAAUCCAAAUUUAGCUACAGCAAUUUUUUCCAAUAGUGCAAUUAGUUUAAAUAACGUUUGUCUCAACGAAGCUGUCUUGAAGGAGGAAAUAGUGAUCCAGAUGGCCAUAACAGAUGCCUUUGCUUUAUCCACCUCUAUUACAAAAUGGGUUUUUAAAAAAAUUAUGACAAUUAUAAUAUCAUAAUAUUUCAUCAUGGUGGAAUUAUUCUUCUUAAUGUAUACAAGUGAGAUAGGAGAAAAGGGAAGUACAAGAAAACAAAAUUGAAAUAGCAAAGAAAAAGUAAAUAAAAAUAAUGGAAAUAAAGAUUUUUAAAAGAAAUUAAAAAAAACAAUAAGGAAUAAAAAAAAAUUAUUAAAAAAGACAGAAAUAGAACACUGGAUAAGAAAAAAACUGAAAUGUCAUAGUGCUGAAGACAUUUGACGGUGAUCCAAAUAUACUAAAAAUUAGUACACUAAUUUAAUUUAAAACAAAGACAUAUACAUAUAAUAUUCAAUGUAUGAUGCAAUGACAUAAAUAUUUCAACGUAGUUUAUGGAUUCAAGAAAGUUUAAACGAAAGAAAAAUGCAGGCUGGACAUUGAGAUACAUACAGUCAAAAUCACAAUUAAUGCAAUCAAAGGACAAUUUUUUGAAUAGUUUUGUAAUUUCUGAAGAAAUUCAACCAUUUCCAGAUAAUCAAGCAUCUAAGGUCAAAACUGUUCUAAUCAUGGCUUGGAAUUAUCAUUGAAUUUAAUUAAUUACCAGAAAUGCAAAUACUAAGUAUUGAAUUAAUUCUUACAUGAGAAUCGUAUGAUAAAUCGACAUUUAGAGGCAUUGAUAACCAAACUGGUAUAUUCGAAAUUGUUAUUGAUUUUAAUUAUUUUAAUUAUAUAAUAGACAUGGCAAUUGAAACUGUUGCUCUCAAAUAACGAAUGAUGGAGACGAAAAACCAUUGAUUUUUUUUUAUCAAGGAAGUUGUUCGACAUGCAAAAUAUCAUGUAUGAUCGAGAUCAAAUAAUCUUUAAAUUCACAAUCGAAGAAUACCAACUAAUGGAACAACAUGAGAAUUUUGUUGAAUUGAAAUUAAUUUAAUUUUGUUAAAAUUAUUCACUUUGCACUUUAACAUCUUUUCCACUUUCUUAUACGAAAACUAUAUGACAAAGGAAGGCAACGCUUGAAACUCUGACCAUCUUGAAACUUUAACCAUUUUCUAGGUAUAAAUGGUAAGACCUUUGUACCUCGACUUUUCUAUAUCAGAAUACCCAAUCUAUAUAUAUAUAUAUAGUGUUGUUCAUUGUAUUGAAUCACCAAUUCCAAAACACUCGUGUACAUGAGAGGGGCAGCGAUCACAGCUAUUGGCUGAUGUCAAGCAUAAGCAGGGAUGUAUUUAUAUGAACGCAUCACCCUUACAAUUUAAAUUUUUAUUUGCUUUUUAUCACUAUAUGAUGAGUAUAUUUAAUUUUUAUUUAUUUAUUUAUAAUAUAUUUAUUUUACAUAUCUAUUAUUAUAACAUUUAUAAUAG
Molecule: RNA transcript, 3298 nt
Organism: Apis laboriosa (Himalayan honeybee)
Lineage: Eukaryota; Metazoa; Arthropoda; Insecta; Hymenoptera; Apidae
Gene name: protein TAPT1 homolog
Exons: 12
Source: RefSeq, a predicted model, not a curated record